RNAcentral lists this long non-coding RNA (627 nucleotides) under Bos taurus (domestic cattle). Its description in RNAcentral is "long non-coding RNA NONBTAT001368". The record is from RNAcentral. Lineage: Eukaryota; Metazoa; Chordata; Mammalia; Artiodactyla; Bovidae.
UGAAUUUUUACCCUUUCUGGGGACCACUUUCAGAUAUUAAUUUCAGGAUAGAAGUUAGCAUGAAAAUAGACCAACUCUUUGCUAUAGGAUUUUGAAAAUAACUUUUAAAAAUUAUUGUUAUGGGAAUCAUUAUAGACUUUAAUCCAAACACUGUAUGGUGAAUAUUACGAUAUUGUUAAAAAAUUUUUUCUAACUUGAUCUUUUGUUUACACAAAUACUAUUUGCCAUAUAUUCAUUUCCUUAGUGGAAAAUUAUUCAGCAAAUAUACCGUGCAGGUCAGCGAUUUGACUGCACACACACACACAUACUUUGAUCAUAAUCCUAAAACUCAGGUUUAUGUUUAAAUGAAAAAUUUACUCAUUUAUUUGAUAAUAAAGGAUUCUGUAAAUCUAUUGAACAUUUUAUAGUUUAAGAUAACAUUUAAAAAUUAAAUUUAUCCAACAUUUAAGCUAUUAUGUAAUUCUUGAGAUUGUAUUGAUCAUUUUUCUCUUUGUGUCAUUUGUAAAUAUGUUAGAUUAAGUGAUUUCCAUUUAAUUAUACUUGCAGAUUACAAUUUGCCAUCUUUUCCACAAGUUUUUCUCUUUAUUUAAAUUACAUUUAGAUUUUACUUAUUUAAUUUUUGGCUUU